GACGAACGCUGGCGGCGUGCUUAACACAUGCAAGUCGAACGGAAAGGCCCUGCUUUUGUGGGGUGCUCGAGUGGCGAACGGGUGAGUAACACGUGAGUAACCUGCCCUUGACUUUGGGAUAACUUCAGGAAACUGGGGCUAAUACCGGAUAGGAGCUCCUGCUGCAUGGUGGGGGUUGGAAAGUUUCGGCGGUUGGGGAUGGACUCGCGGCUUAUCAGCUUGUUGGUGGGGUAGUGGCUUACCAAGGCUUUGACGGGUAGCCGGCCUGAGAGGGUGGCCGGCCACAUUGGGACUGAGAUACGGCCCAGACUCCUACGGGAGGCAGCAGUGGGGAAUAUUGCACAAUGGGCGGAAGCCUGAUGCAGCAACGCCGCGUGCGGGAUGACGGCCUUCGGGUUGUAAACCGCCUUCGCCUGUGACGAAGCGUGAGUGACGGUAAUGGGUAAAGAAGCACCGGCUAACUACGUG
RNAcentral lists this ribosomal RNA (468 nucleotides) under uncultured bacterium. RNAcentral's name for it is "partial 16S ribosomal RNA". It matches the Rfam family "Bacterial small subunit ribosomal RNA", at positions 28 to 507 of the family's 1533-position model. The record is from RNAcentral.